Molecule: long non-coding RNA, 778 nt
Organism: Lolium perenne
Lineage: Eukaryota; Viridiplantae; Streptophyta; Magnoliopsida; Poales; Poaceae
Source: RefSeq, a predicted model, not a curated record
CCCGAACGGGUCGCGCACGGACCUGUCGCGUCGCCACUCCUCCCUCCCCUUCCCUAGCUCGCUCGCUCUCCCGUCGCAGCGCCCCACUGCCGCCGGCGUGUUCCUCUCUCUUUCCCCAUUGGCGCCACCGCUGCCUUUCUCCCCACCACCUCGUUUCCUCUCGCUCCCCUCCCGCACCAUAUAUUUGGAGUCAAGGUUCCGUUUUUAUGCGCUGGCGAUGUGCAGCUGGGCAACAAACUGUUGGAGCUGCGUGCGCCGGCGACGAUGCGGGUGGGCGAGGAGGUACUAGAUCUGCGUGCACCGCGACAUGCUGCUGGGCUCGCUCGCCGGAGCACCGCGCCGUCGACCUUGCCUCGUCACGUCGCCCCACCAUCCACACGCAGCAGGAUCCGGAGGAGGCGACCAAUUUCCUGCCGUUGGUGCCCGCUAGAUCCGGUUGUCGCAGCCGGGAGAAGAACAUGCUGGCCGCCCGAACUCCUUCCCCACGUACUCCUCCAAGACGCCGCCCCGACACGCAACCAGGCCGGCGCACCGACGGGAAGAAGGACGCGACCUGCGACAGUUCAUGUUAAUGGACAGUAGCCGAGGGCAGUUCUGCGGUGGGAUUGACUGUUGCUUCUGCAGUUGGUCAAUCUUCCACUAAUCAAGAUCAUCUCCGGCCUUCCCCGCCACGCCUUGUCAGUUGCUUAAUUGCCAAUGCAUUUUCCUUUUAUUGUCAUAGUGUGUUACCAUUUCUUGUCAAUUUACUGUCAUAUUGUGUUACCAUUUCUUGUACUCC